This 425-nucleotide ribosomal RNA is filed under the name uncultured bacterium. RNAcentral describes it as "partial 16S ribosomal RNA". It matches the Rfam family "Bacterial small subunit ribosomal RNA", at positions 355 to 769 of the family's 1533-position model. The record is from RNAcentral.
UGGGGAAUUUUGGACAAUGGGCGAAAGCCUGAUCCAGCAAUGCCGCGUGUGUGAAGAAGGCCUUCGGGUUGUAAAGCACUUUUGUCCGGAAAGAAAUCCUUGGCUCUAAUACAGUCGGGGGAUGACGGUACCGGAAGAAUAAGCACCGGCUAACUACGUGCCAGCAGCCGCGGUAAUACGUAGGGUGCAAGCGUUAAUCGGAAUUACUGGGCGUAAAGCGUGCGCAGGCGGUUUGCUAAGACCGAUGUGAAAUCCCCGGGCUCAACCUGGGAACUGCAUUGGUGACUGGGCAGGCUAGAGUAUGGCAGAGGGGGGUAGAAUUCCACGUGUAGCAGUGAAAUGCGUAGAGAUGUGGAGGAAUACCGAUGGCGAAAGGCAGCCCCCUGGGCCAAUACUGACGCUCAUGCACGAAAAGCGUGGGGGGA